This 20-nucleotide small RNA is filed under the name Arabidopsis thaliana (thale cress). RNAcentral describes it as "ATSL233690". The record is from RNAcentral. Lineage: Eukaryota; Viridiplantae; Streptophyta; Magnoliopsida; Brassicales; Brassicaceae.
UUUUUUUUUCCUUUUUUUUU